GGUUGAUCCUGCCAGUAGUCAUAUGCUUGUCUCAAAGAUUAAGCCAUGCAUGUCUAAGUAUAAGCAAUUAUACCGCGAAACUGCGAAUGGCUCAUUAUAUAAGUUAUCGUUUAUUUGAUAGCACAUUACUACUUGGAUAACCGUGGUAAUUCUAGAGCUAAUACAUGCUAAAAAUCCCGACUUCGGAAGGGAUGUAUUUAUUAGAUUAAAAGCCAACGCCCUUCGGGGCUCUGUGGUGAUUCAUAAUAACUGGUCGAAUCGCAUGGCCUUGCGCCGGCGAUGGUUCAUUCAAA
RNAcentral lists this ribosomal RNA (293 nucleotides) under uncultured eukaryote. Its description in RNAcentral is "partial 18S ribosomal RNA". It matches the Rfam family "Eukaryotic small subunit ribosomal RNA", at positions 6 to 303 of the family's 1831-position model. The record is from RNAcentral.